Molecule: ribosomal RNA, 407 nt
Filed under: uncultured bacterium
Lineage: Bacteria
Description: partial 16S ribosomal RNA
Rfam family: Bacterial small subunit ribosomal RNA
Source: RNAcentral
AUUGAACGCUGGCGGCAGGCCUAACACAUGCAAGUCGAGCGGCGCGGCGGUCGGGUGCGUAAUGCCUAGGACUCUGCCUGGUAGUGGGGGAUGACGUUCGGAAAUGGGCGCUAAUACCACAUACUAUCAGCAGAGCCUAGGUCGGAUUAGCUAGUUGGUGGGGUAAAGGCCUACCAAGGCGACGAUCCGGAACUGGUCUGAGAGGAUGAUCAGUCACACUGGAACUGAGACACGGUCCAGACUCCUACGGGAGGCAGCAGUGGGGAAUAUUGGACAAUGGGCGAAAGCCUGAUCCAGCCAUGCCGCGUGUGUGAAGAAGGUCUUCGGAUUGUAAAGCACUUUAAGUUGGGAGGCGUUACCAACAGAAUAAGCACCGGCUAACUUCGUGCCAGCAGCCGCGGUAAUUC